Molecule: ribosomal RNA, 183 nt
Filed under: uncultured Streptococcus sp.
Lineage: Bacteria; Bacillati; Bacillota; Bacilli; Lactobacillales; Streptococcaceae
Description: partial 16S ribosomal RNA
Rfam family: Bacterial small subunit ribosomal RNA
Source: RNAcentral
UUAUGACCUGGGCUACACACGUGCUACAAUGGUUGGUACAACGAGUUGCGAGUCCGGUGACGGCGAGCUAAUCUCUUAAAGCCAAUACUCAGUUCGGAUUGUAGGCUGCAACUCGCCUACAUGAAGUCGGAAUCGCUAGUAAUCGCGGAUCAGCACGCCGCGGUGAAUACGUUCCCGGGCCUU